GCAUAAAACCACGUGUUUACAUUGUUAGCUAUACAUGUUGACAAUAUUCCUUGUGCAGGGUGUCGUAAUAUUACAGAUAUACGGUUGCACACGCGACGUCACUCGUUGCCCGGACAACACAUACUUGGAUGCACGUGCAAUUUGAUUGUUUUGUUUCAAUAUAUGGAGGGAACAGCAGACGACAGUUUCCAAUUGUGUUCAGAGUUACUCCAGGUCGUUAAGGUUGCAGGUCGGUGAAGACUGCCGGUGUAUCUGGGCCUAGUGUGGGGUGUACGUGAGUACUGGACGGGGUAUGGCAGACGAGUGGCAACCUGUUUGUCAAGAUCCGUCUUGUUCACCCUCAGACGAGAUCGAGGCCCUCCGCCUGGUCCCCGGGAUCUGGAUGCUCAUCGCGUGUCUGUCUGUGUGUCUGCUGCUGAUGCUGCUUGUCCUCGCGUUCUUCAGGGGCGUGUGUUUAAACACUGAACUGAAGACCUGUCCAAGCAGACGACACAAACAGUAUAUAGAGGACAAGGCGUUUACAAUCAAUGACGCGGAUUUUGUGUGAAAGAAUUUCAAACAGAUGUUUUUUACGACACAACAGAUUGGAAUAUAACGAUAUAUGACCGACUGUCACUAUGGGCAUUCUGUCCCCGGGCAGUGUUGAUACGUGUUAAGGAGUUAGACGACUUAUUAAAAGUAUUUUUGAAAUUUAAGCAGGGGGUUGAAGUUUUCAAACGUCCCAUGAGUUUACAACCUCGCGUGGAGAUGAAGGUGGCGCCUGCAUCAUGUGUUCGACACUUGGAAACAUCCAGACCAGUAUACUCUCCACCGGGCACAUCUGAUAUUGACGAUGUUGAAACUUCUAAUCUGGUACAUGGUGAACGGAGGCUCAGAGAAACUCAGGUGGAAUAUCUCAAAUCAGGGUGGGUGACACAGCUCUGACAUGGCGGCAGAUUUCAGAGACGAGCUGUGUGACUAUUUUACAACUGAUGGACAGGUCUCGCGUCUCAGUGGGAUAUAUAGUGUGAAUAAAUCAGUGUUACAUACAUGUACAUGGCAAUCACCAUCCACUUCGACUGGUACCUGGUCAAUCCUGCCCAACUGGACUUGUUGACCGUAUGCAGAUCUUUUAUCUGAGACUGCUCAACUUCUUAGAGAGCUGAUCUGCUGUAUCCAGAUCCCAAACCAUAUUGUGUUCCCUUUUGCCAAGCCCUUACUGCAAUGCUACAACUGUAAUUGAAGCAGUCUAGAUUUCCACAGGUUCUGAAUCUCCCAUCCCACUGGGGCCCCUUUUCAAUUUAAAUGUAGUUGCUUGGCUCUAUAAACGAUAUUUUUUGUGUC
Haliotis rufescens (red abalone) is the source of this 1323-nucleotide long non-coding RNA. RefSeq lists it as uncharacterized. NCBI's taxonomy places the organism in Eukaryota, Metazoa, Mollusca, Gastropoda, Lepetellida, Haliotidae. The transcript is spliced from 3 exons. The record is from RefSeq and is a predicted model, not a curated record.